CACAUUCGCCAACAGACCCAAGAACACCUUCUUCAAGAAGCUUUGCUACAACUCCAAAGACGUGGCCUCAGCUCCUUAUUCAUCAUCAUCGUUUAAUUUAAGCGAAAUGCUCGAGACGCUUAUGAAUGAUGUGAUUUGUAGAGUGGCUCUGGGGAGGAAGUACGAUGGCG
Molecule: non-coding RNA, 170 nt
Organism: Prunus avium (sweet cherry)
Lineage: Eukaryota; Viridiplantae; Streptophyta; Magnoliopsida; Rosales; Rosaceae
Source: RefSeq, a predicted model, not a curated record